UUAUAACACAUCAUCAACAGCUUUGGAUACCUAAGUUAGAUUCUCGUACUGGCUAUAGCUUUGAAAAAUUUGAAAAACAGAGAGAUACUUUGAACGCUACAAAAUGUCAUCCUAAUUCACAUAAGUCAAUAUUGCCAAAAUUAUCAAUCACCAUUCAACAUGAUUUUUAAACAGAAGCUAGCCAUAGAAAGCGUUUUAAAAGCAAAUGGUCAAGAAAGGCAGAUGCAAAUACUUAUGGAAAUUGGGAUUACGGACCACGCAGGUAAUAUUUUACCAUGGACGCAUUAUCGAAAAAGAGAUGCCCCAUUGUCAAUUAACGAAAUGUAUCGAUGCACACAAAACAGUUCAAUAGGGUAAUCGUCUUCUGCAAAUCAGGAUUCGCAGAUUAAACUGAAAAUUAUUUGAUUUGUUUUGAUAUGAUUUAACCCGAGACACCAAUAUAAUUUAAAAGUCGUUCUUCAAAUUCAAUAAAUAAAAUAUUUUGUGAUUCAUAUGAAGAGGGCUAGUUAUU
This is a long non-coding RNA of Mytilus trossulus (common blue mussel), 511 nucleotides long. RefSeq lists it as uncharacterized. The record is from RefSeq and is a predicted model, not a curated record. NCBI's taxonomy places the organism in Eukaryota, Metazoa, Mollusca, Bivalvia, Mytilida, Mytilidae. The transcript has 4 exons.